Molecule: long non-coding RNA, 3425 nt
Filed under: Malus domestica (apple)
Lineage: Eukaryota; Viridiplantae; Streptophyta; Magnoliopsida; Rosales; Rosaceae
Description: long non-coding RNA (MDOM_LNC009718)
Source: RNAcentral
CUCCGACUCCGACUCCAGCUCCAGCAGCAGCUGCUGCUGCUACCCCUCGUCUCACAGAAACCAUCCAAGCGAACAAACAGUACAUACAGGACCAGCUCCGAAAAUCGGGGGCCGUACUCUUCAGGGGGUUUCCUGUAAAUACGGCCUCGGACUUCAACGACGUCGUGGAGGCCUUCGGCUACGAAGAGAAUCCUUACGUUGGAACUUGGAACUGCUCCUCGGACCAAGAUCGUGGGUCGGGUUUUUACCGCCAACGAGGCCCCACCAGAUGUCAAAAUUCCAUUUCACCACGAAAUGGCUUUGGUAAGUGGCAACUAUAUAGUGCAUUUCAUUACUUUUCUAUAACUAACCAGAGGGGGAAGAGUCCUAAAUUAUUACUAUAAUUAAGGUUAGAAACUCAAAAUCCUAUUCAUUAGGAUAUUGAACCACAUAUAAGAUAUAUAAUACAGGAUCAUAACAAUAGUUAAACCAUUUUGUAGAAUUUCUUCAUUCAAACACACCCUCUAUAUGUGUGUGUGUGUAUAUAUUUAUUUAUUUUUUAAUUAACAUCCUAUAUAUGUAUAACGUUAUUUCAAGUUGCAGAACGUGUUGUUUUUAUUUGUUUUCCUUGUGUGAUGCUUAUGACGUGUCGUUCAGUAUCCAGAGUACCCAUCCAAACUGUUAUUCUUUUGUGAAGUAGAGCCUGUAAGUGGGGGUGAAACUCCCAUUGUUCUAAGCCACAUUGUGUACGAGAGGAUGAAAAACAAACACCCGCAAUUUGUUCAAAAAUUGGAGGACCAUGGAUUGAUAUAUACCAAGAUUAUAGGCCACCACGACGACCCUUCUUCCGCGAUAGGCCGUGGCUGGAAGGCCACAUUUGCGACCGAAGAUAAGAACAUAGUUGAACAAAGGUAUUUAUUUGUACUACUACAUACUGAAAAGAUGACUAUGAUAAGACGGUUACAUAACGAUAGGACUACAUAUUGGCAGGGUUUCUAAGGAGGGGUUUAGGUUGGAAUGGUUGGAUAAUGGAGGAGUGAAAACAAUCAAGGGACCGAUCCUGGGCAUCAAAUGUGACAGCAGCACAGGGCAGCGCAAGACUUGGUUUAACAGCAUCGUGAUAGCAUAUACAGAGUGGAAAGGAGAUGCAAGAAAUGACCCUGAGAAGGUUGUCACAUUCGGGGAUGGCAGCCCGUUGGCAGCGGAUAUCAUCUACGACUGCCAGAAAAUUCUUGAAGUUGAAAGUGUGGCCAUCCCUUGGCGCAAAGGUGAUGUUUUGCUGCUGGACAAUUUGGCCAUUCUUCACUCCCGGAAUCCAUGUACUACACCUCGCAGAGUCCUUGCCGCCCUCUGCAAGUAGACUAGCUAAUCAGCUGUAUUAAACAACUAAUCAUAUGUGUCCUCAUAUGUAUCUAUAUUAUAGUAUGCCUUGUUUACAGAAUUUGUGAAAUAAAAAGCAAGAGUUGAGUUGUUGUGUUAGAACUUGGACUUGUUUGGUUGCCAAGAAAAAGGCAAAAGUAAGAAGAACCCUAUAUGAUUGCUUUGUGUAUCUUUCUUUUCUGCCCCUUUUAACCUUUUUUCUGGAGGUGUAAGAUAAUCCCACAAGAUGAACCCGUCAUUCCUCUUUAAUUGCAAAUAGUUUUUCUAUCAAAGUUUGAUUUGUAUGCAGAGAGAUUUAUUUCGAAUAAGGGUAAAAAUGGAAGUAUGAGGACAUGAAUGGAAUUUUAAAAAAAGGGUUGUCUUCUCCAAGGUAACUAGGGUUGCUAUUUACAUAAUUUUGUGUCUGAUCUGGAAGCAAUAAUUAAUCUCUGUCCCAUGUUACACGAUCGUACCUAACAUGAAUAUUAUAUAAUACCGGGAUCCUCUCCUGAGCAGUUCCCUAGGGAUCCUAGAGAUCCCGCAAUCAUGUCCGUUCAUCGUAUAUCGUGCGGUCAAAAAUUCUUUAAAAUUUAAAUUUUAAAAUUCAAAUAUGAAUAGUAUCUAACGAAAACUGACAUCACGAUAUAAAAUGAACGGACAAGAUUGAGGGAUCCCUAAAGAACUGCUCAGGAGAGGAUCCUCGUUCUAUUAUAUAAACCACAAACGAUUAAAGUAUGGCAGCAAAACAAUGACGGCUUGUUUUAUUAAUAUCUCACAUUUGUUAAUUGCACUCCACAUAUUUAAUACAUUUUAUAUUUACUUUUUAAAUUAAAAUUUUUCUUAACACACCCCAUGUAUUUUCCAAUACUACCCUCACACCUCACACCUCAUAUCUCAUACACCCCACAUCUCACAUCAUCAACUAAUUAACCACACAUCAACCUCUUCAUCUCUUUCAAACAAAAGAAUAAUCCACAUUUUAAAGACAAUAAAGAUGAAUUAAAUUGUUGUAUAAAAUCUCCAUUUGCCGUUUGAUUUAUAAACAUCCGUCAAAUUUUCUUAAACAAUCAUGUUGGAUUCUAAGAAGCCAGAUGGACAAAUGGUAGGAAAUGUUCUUAUAAGGUCAUGUCAGUUCCAACCAGCCAAAAAAACAUUGAAUUUCUUCAUCAUCAAACAGCCACAAGAAUAUUACAUUUAAUUACAUCUUAAAAUUUUCAACAUUCUCUAGUUUUCUUCCUAUUUCUUGGAUUCCAAUUAGAGCAGGGCUUCGCAAAAAGAAAUUUUUAUUCCAUUAUUUAAAUAAUUUUUUUAAUGUGAAAACCAAUGAAUGAACGAGGAGCAGAACUCGAUUUUUUGUUCCAUUCAUCAAAAGAUAUAUUUUCAUUAACUUGUUUGUAUUUUUAGGGUUUUGUGUAAGAGAGGGUUUGAAUAUUCAUUUCAUAUUAGAGUUACAAGUUGUUUAGUAUUACAAUUUUUAAAUGGGAUGUAUUUAACAUGUGGGGUGUGUUAAUAAAAAAUGAGGUGGAUUGUCUGCCCUCCCAUUUCCAUAUACUCUUUUCAUCCCCUACUGUUUGUGUGGUCACAGUUAAGCCACGUCAAUAUUUUAUAUUGAUUUUUUUAUAAAAAUAAUAAAACAAAAAGUAAUAGGAAUAUAAAAUGUUAACGUAACUUAACCGUGACCAUAUAAAACAGUAGGAGAUGAUAAUAGUAUAAAAAUGGGACGGCAGACAAUCCACAUCCAAUAAAAAAAAACCAACAAUAAUUACAAAGAAGACUCUUGAAGCAGCAGCUAACAACAGAGACGGAGACAGCAUGGCAUUGACAAUGGUGGAGAUCCCAGAGCAAAAGCUUUACGACGGAAAUCGAUUCCCGGCAGUUAUAUCUCCGACUCCGACUCCAGCAGCAGCUGCUACUCCUCGUCUCACAGAAACCAUCCAAGCGAACAAACAGUACAUACAGGACCAGCUCCUAAAAUCCGGGGCCGUACUCUUCAGGGGGUUUCCUGUAAAUACAGCCUCGGACUUCAACGACGUCGUGGAGGCCUUCGGCUACGAAGAGAAUCCUUACGUUGGAACUGCUCCUCGGAC